This is a non-coding RNA of Danio rerio (zebrafish), 117 nucleotides long. Lineage: Eukaryota; Metazoa; Chordata; Actinopteri; Cypriniformes; Danionidae. The record is from Rfam.
AUAGACAGCCACAUCACCCUGCCGCCCAAGACCGGUUACUCACUGAAGCUAAGCAGGGCUGAGCUUGGUCAGUACCUGGAUGGGAGACCACAUGGGAAAACUACGUUGCUGUUGGAA